UGCCUCCUGAUGGCUUACCAUAGGCUGUGUUCUUACACUGUCUGUAUAGAUAAAGAGGAGGGAAAGUAAACCUAUUCCAAUAUACCUCAGCCCAGGCCCUGUGCUGGGUUUUUAUUGUGAAAGGGGAGACAUAG
This 134-nucleotide small nucleolar RNA is filed under the name Castor canadensis (American beaver). Its description in RNAcentral is "Small nucleolar RNA SNORA51 (ENSCCNG00000026153.1)". It matches the Rfam family "Small nucleolar RNA SNORA51". From Rfam's summary of the family: ACA51 is a member of the H/ACA class of snoRNA that guide the sites of modification of uridines to pseudouridines. Lineage: Eukaryota; Metazoa; Chordata; Mammalia; Rodentia; Castoridae. The record is from Rfam by way of RNAcentral.